This 253-nucleotide ribosomal RNA is filed under the name uncultured bacterium. RNAcentral's name for it is "partial 16S ribosomal RNA". It matches the Rfam family "Bacterial small subunit ribosomal RNA", at positions 524 to 776 of the family's 1533-position model. The record is from RNAcentral.
GACGGGGGGUCCUAGCGUUGUUCGGAAUCAUUGGGCGUAAAGCGUGUGCAGGUGGUUUGGUAAGUUAGAUGUGAAAUCCUUGGGCUUAACCCAAGACGUGCAUUUAAAACUACCAGACUUGAAUAUGGAAGAGGGUCGUGGAAUUCCAGGUGUAGCGGUGAAAUGCGUAGAGAUGCGGAGGAACACCGAUGGCGAAGGCAGCCCCCUGGGCUGACACUGACGCUCAGGCACGAAAGCGUGGGGAGCAAACAGG